This 405-nucleotide ribosomal RNA is filed under the name uncultured prokaryote. Its description in RNAcentral is "bacterial SSU rRNA". It matches the Rfam family "Bacterial small subunit ribosomal RNA", at positions 355 to 774 of the family's 1533-position model. The record is from RNAcentral.
UGGGGGAUAUUGCACAAUGGGCGAAAGCCUGAUGCAGCAACGCCGCGUGAGGGAAGACGGUUUUCGGAUUGUAAACCUCUGUCUUCGGUGAAGAAAAAAAUGACGGUAGCCGAGGAGGAAGCCACGGCUAACUACGUGCCAGCAGCCGCGGUAAUACGUAGGUGGCGAGCGUUGUCCGGAUUUACUGGGUGUAAAGGGAGCGCAGGCGGGGAGACAAGUCAGAUGUGAAAACUAUGGGCUUAACCCAUAAACUGCAGUUGAAACUGUUUUUCUUGAGUGGAGUAGAGGUAGGCGGAAUUCCGAGUGUAGCGGUGAAAUGCGUAGAUAUUCGGAGGAACACCAGUGGCGAAGGCGGCCCACUGGGCUCUAACUGACGCUGAGGCUCGAAAGUGUGGGGAGCAAACA